GAAUUCACUAGUGAUUCAGGCCUAACACAUGCAAGUCGAACGCCCAGCAAUGGGGGUGGCAGACGGGUGAGGAACACGUGGGAACGUACCUUUUGGUUCGGAAUAACUCAGGGAAACUUGUGCUAAUACCGGAUAAGCCCUUCGGGGGAAAGAUUUAUCGCCAAAAGAUCGGCCCGCGUCUGAUUAGCUAGUUGGUGAGGUAACGGCUCACCAAGGCGACGAUCAGUAGCUGGUCUGAGAGGAUGAUCAGCCACACUGGGACUGAGACACGGCCCAGACUCCUACGGGAGGCAGCAGUGGGGAAUAUUGGACAAUGGGCGCAAGCCUGAUCCAGCCAUGCCGCGUGAGUGAAGAGGGUCUUCGGAUUGUAAAGCUCUUUUGGCGGGGACGAUAAUG
RNAcentral lists this ribosomal RNA (396 nucleotides) under uncultured bacterium. Its description in RNAcentral is "bacterial SSU rRNA". It matches the Rfam family "Bacterial small subunit ribosomal RNA", at positions 34 to 453 of the family's 1533-position model. The record is from RNAcentral.